This 497-nucleotide ribosomal RNA is filed under the name uncultured bacterium. RNAcentral's name for it is "partial 16S ribosomal RNA". It matches the Rfam family "Bacterial small subunit ribosomal RNA", at positions 28 to 507 of the family's 1533-position model. The record is from RNAcentral.
GAUGAACGCUGGCGGCGUGCCUAAUACAUGCAAGUCGAGCGAACGGACGAGAAGCUUGCUUCUCUGAUGUUAGCGGCGGACGGGUGAGUAACACGUGGAUAACCUACAUAUAAGACUGGGAUAACUUCGGGAAACCGGAGCUAAUACCGGAUAAUAUUUUGAACCGCAUGGUUCAAAAGUGAAAGACGGUCUUGCUGUCACUUAUAGAUGGAUCCGCGCUGCAUUAGCUAGUUGGUAAGGUAACGGCUUACCAAGGCAACGAUGCAUAGCCGACCUGAGAGGGUGAUCGGCCACACUGGAACUGAGACACGGUCCAGACUCCUACGGGAGGCAGCAGUAGGGAAUCUUCCGCAAAGGGCGAAAGCCUGACGGAGCAACGCCGCGUGAGUGAUGAAGGUCUUCGGAUCGUAAAACUCUGUUAUUAGGGAAGAACAUAUGUGUAAGUAACUGUGCACAUCUUGACGGUACCUAAUCAGAAAGCCACGGCUAACUACGUG